This 497-nucleotide ribosomal RNA is filed under the name uncultured bacterium. RNAcentral's name for it is "partial 16S ribosomal RNA". It matches the Rfam family "Bacterial small subunit ribosomal RNA", at positions 28 to 507 of the family's 1533-position model. The record is from RNAcentral.
GAUGAACGCUGGCGGCGUGCCUAAUACAUGCAAGUCGAGCGAACAGAUGAGGAGCUUGCUCCUCUGACGUUAGCGGCGGACGGGUGAGUAACACGUGGAUAACCUACCUAUAAGACUGGGAUAACUUCGGGAAACCGGAGCUAAUACCGGAUAAUAUAUUGAACCGCAUGGUUCAAUAGUGAAAGACGGUUUUGCUGUCACUUAUAGAUGGAUCCGCGCCGCAUUGGCUAGUUGGUAAGGUAACGGCUUACCAAGGCAACGAUGCGUAGCCGACCUGAGAGGGUGAGCGGCCACCCUGGAACUGAGACACGGUCCAGACUCCUACGGGAGGCAGCAGUAGGGAAGCUUCCGCAAUGGGCGAAAGCCUGACGGAGCAACGCCGCGUGAGUGAUGAAGGUCUUCGGAUCGUAAAACUCUGUUAUUAGGGAAGAACAAAUGUGUAAGUAACUAUGCACGUCUUGACGGUACCUAAUCAGAAAGCCACGGCUAACUACGUG